AAGUCGUAACAAGGUUUCCGUAGGUGAACCUGCGGAAGGAUCAUUAAAAGAAUUUCGUGUGUGCCUUGUGCAUAUCGCAAUUCAAACCCCAUUCUGUGAACCAUGCCUGUUGCUUCCGUGGGGCGCGCCCACGUUUGUGGGCGCGCUGCGAUGGUCAGCCACUUGACCAUUGGCAGAGAGUAUCCACGGGAGGUUUUUGGAAUAAACCAUUUGCAAUGAUUGGUGUCUGUCUGAAAGAGCGAUAUAAUUGUUAAAACUUUCAACAACGGAUCUCUUGGUUCUCA
This 284-nucleotide unclassified non-coding RNA is filed under the name fungal sp. RNAcentral's name for it is "partial internal transcribed spacer region". The stretch from base 1 to 46 matches the Rfam family "Eukaryotic small subunit ribosomal RNA", at positions 1786 to 1831 of the family's 1831-position model. The record is from RNAcentral. Lineage: Eukaryota; Fungi.